Molecule: long non-coding RNA, 1255 nt
Organism: Fundulus heteroclitus (mummichog)
Lineage: Eukaryota; Metazoa; Chordata; Actinopteri; Cyprinodontiformes; Fundulidae
Exons: 2
Source: RefSeq, a predicted model, not a curated record
GGACGUUUUGGUUUGGCUCCAGAAGUUAGAGGGAUGGAAAGGUCAGUAUUUUUUGAAGUGGGAUUCAUUAGUUAUGGAGUGCUCCAUAAUUAGCAUCCAUCCUCACUUAUUUAUAAUUAGUCAUUAGAUUACAGUUUAAUGGUCCUCCAUAGGUAGAAUCCUGCUUCCAGUAAAUAGGUCUCUUAGUUGUACCUGGAUGUUGAAGAUAACUUAUUUGUUUGAGAGGGACCACAACUAAAGUUGCAGUUUCCAGUGCAAAUAAUCUUUGGCGUCCGGACAGCUUUGCAGGUUUGAUGUUCUGAGAAAGGUUCAAAGCUCGGCAUGUUGUUUUCAAACCUAACCCUGCUUCAACUUUACCUGCAACCUUCCCUCUGACUAGUCAUCUCGCACCAACACUUUGCCCACUGGAACUUGUUCUGUCCACUUUACUUCUAUGAAAACAGUUGGGAGUUUUGCUUAAAAAGCAGAAAUAAAAACACGUGAUGUACUUUUAAAGAUUUCCACAUGCUGAGUUUGGACAAGAAUUGCUUAAUUGCUUAAAUUUGCUCAUUCAGGACAAUGAAAUUCCUGUGAAAUUCCAAAGAAACUGUCUAUUUCAGGCAAUUCUUGUCACAUCAAAUACACAAAGGAGGCCUUGCCGUCACAGCGUAAACUGUCCCAUUAUUUUCAAACAGAUCCUGAAUUCCAUUUCAUGAUUACUGCAUUGAUAUAAACUAAAAGUCUUAUUUGAUUUGACUCACUGACACUCAUCUGGCUUCAACAGUCCUUUAUUCAAGAUUCAGUAAAGCACUAAGCCAAUGUUGUGUGCAUAUACUAUUAUAAUACGGUCAAAUUUCAGUCAGUAACAGCUGAACAUACUCUAAAAGGGGACACAAUCUUAACCACAAUGCAUUACUCUGAAAAGUAUUCUAGGAUAUACUGAAGGCUGGAGCUGAAAAAGGAGACUGUUGGUGCUUUUAGUAAUUAAUGCAGAUAAAAACAGUGUUUUCAGGUUUAUGGCGCAAGUGCUAAACAAACUGCAGCACUUUUAAUAUGAGGUUUUUUCUUCUUCACUACAUGCAAAUUGAAUUGAGAACAUUUUCAUCUCAUUUUAAUCCAAAAACUCACCAUUUGUUAACUCAUCAUUUAUACACAAUAAAUUAUCAAUUUCAUAUAAAGAAGAUAAUAUUUGAAGGGCCACCAGAGUGUUUGUGUGCUUAUUGUCAAAAGCAAAGAGAAACUUUAUUAGAGAAAUGUGACAGGGCAAUAAAAAAAA